Molecule: ribosomal RNA, 445 nt
Filed under: uncultured bacterium
Lineage: Bacteria
Description: bacterial SSU rRNA
Rfam family: Bacterial small subunit ribosomal RNA
Source: RNAcentral
UCCAGACUCCUACGGGAGGCAGCAGUGGGGAAUAUUGCACAAUGGGGGAAACCCUGAUGCAGCAACGCCGCGUGAGUGAAGAAGUCAUUCGUGAUGUAAAGCUCUAUCAGCAGGGAAGAAAAUGACGGUACCUGAGUAAGAAGCCCCGGCUAACUACGUGCCAGCAGCCGCGGUAAUACGUAGGAGGCGAGCGUUAUCCGGAAUGACUGGGCGUAAAGGGUGCGUAGGUGGUUUGACAAGUUGGUAGCGUAACUCCGAGGCUCAACCUCGGCACUACUACCAAAACUGUCGGACUUGAGUGCAGGAGGGGCAAUUGGAAUUCCUAGUGUAGCGGUGGAAUGCGCAGAUAUUAGGAGGAACACCGGUGGCGAAGGCGAAUUGCUGGACUGUAACUGACACUGAGGCACGAAAGCGUGGGGAGCAAACAGGAUUAGAUACCCCGGUA